UGGGGAAUAUUGGACAAUGGGCGAAAGCCUGAUCCAGCCAUGCCGCGUGUGUGAAGAAGGUCUUCGGAUUGUAAAGCACUUUAAGUUGGGAGGAAGGGCAUUAACCUAAUACGUUAGUGUUUUGACGUUACCGACAGAAUAAGCACCGGCUAACUCUGUGCCAGCAGCCGCGGUAAUACAGAGGGUGCAAGCGUUAAUCGGAAUUACUGGGCGUAAAGCGCGCGUAGGUGGUUUGUUAAGUUGGAUGUGAAAUCCCCGGGCUCAACCUGGGAACUGCAUUCAAAACUGACUGACUAGAGUAUGGUAGAGGGUGGUGGAAUUUCCUGUGUAGCGGUGAAAUGCGUAGAUAUAGGAAGGAACACCAGUGGCGAAGGCGACCACCUGGACUAAUACUGACACUGAGGUGCGAAAGCAUGGGGAGCGAACA
Molecule: ribosomal RNA, 427 nt
Filed under: uncultured bacterium
Lineage: Bacteria
Description: partial 16S ribosomal RNA
Rfam family: Bacterial small subunit ribosomal RNA
Source: RNAcentral